GAUCCUGGCUUAGGACGAACGCUGGCGGCGUGCUUCAUACAUGCAAGUCGAACGAGAAUCUUACUUCGGUAAGGGGAAAGUGGCGGACGGGUGAGUAAUAUGUAGAGAAUCUGCCCUUAAGCGGGGGACAACAGUUGGAAACGACUGCUAAUACCCCAUAUGAGCGUACCUGAAAUGGUAUUCUUGAAAACUCCGGUGCUUAAGGAUGAGUCUGCAUCUGAUUAGCUAGUUGGGGGUGUAAUGGACCACCAAGGCGACGAUCAGUAGCUGGUUUGAGAGGAUGAUCAGCCACAAUGGGACUGAGACACGGCCCAUACUCCUACGGGAGGCAGCAGUAGGGAAUUUUGCGCAAUGGGCGAAAGCCUGAACCGCAGCAACGCCGCGUGAACGAGAAGCCCUUCGGGGUGUAAAGUUCUGUCAGUAGGGACGAACAAUGACUGUACCUACAGAGGAAGCACCGGCUAACUCCGUGCCAGCCGCCGC
RNAcentral lists this ribosomal RNA (483 nucleotides) under uncultured bacterium. RNAcentral's name for it is "bacterial SSU rRNA". It matches the Rfam family "Bacterial small subunit ribosomal RNA", at positions 15 to 518 of the family's 1533-position model. The record is from RNAcentral.